AAACGACACCAUGACAGUGCUACAGUGCUGACGAAUACAAUGUAACUGUAACACAAAUCCUGGAGGCGGACGACAUCCUUCAGGAGUGUAAAGCGGACAACAAAGAUCUAAUACGAUUGUAAAUAUCUAAAUUUGUAAUAAUUAAAUUUAUAUAAAAUA
This is a long non-coding RNA of Pieris brassicae (large cabbage white), 159 nucleotides long. RefSeq lists it as uncharacterized. The transcript has 2 exons. The record is from RefSeq and is a predicted model, not a curated record. NCBI's taxonomy places the organism in Eukaryota, Metazoa, Arthropoda, Insecta, Lepidoptera, Pieridae.